RNAcentral lists this ribosomal RNA (120 nucleotides) under uncultured bacterium. Its description in RNAcentral is "partial 16S ribosomal RNA". It matches the Rfam family "Bacterial small subunit ribosomal RNA", at positions 215 to 334 of the family's 1533-position model. The record is from RNAcentral.
CCGCUUUGGGAGGGGCCCGUGGCCCAUUAGCUUGUUGGUGAGGUAACGGCUCACCAAGGCUGCGAUGGGUAGCUGGUCUAAGAGGACGGUCAGCCACACUGGGACUGAGACACGGCCCAG